This is a non-coding RNA of Manis javanica (Malayan pangolin), 2373 nucleotides long. Lineage: Eukaryota; Metazoa; Chordata; Mammalia; Pholidota; Manidae. The record is from RefSeq and is a predicted model, not a curated record.
CCUGUCAAGGGGCACUUGGCCCGCUUCUGCCUUGUGACUGUCACGAAUGGUGCUGUUACGAACACAGGUGUCCAAAUAUCUGUUUGAGUCCCUGCUUUCAACUCCUUUGGGUAUAUGCCCAGGAGUGAAAUUGCUAGACCAUAUGAUAAUUCCAUGUCAUUUUUUGAGGAGCUGCCAUACCGCUUUCUACAGGGGCUGCACCAUUUCAAUGUUCCCACAAGCAGUGUGAACAUGCCAGUGUUCCCACACCCAGGUCAAUACUUAUUUUCUGCUUUUUUGAUAAUAGACAUCCUAGUGGGUGUGAAGUCGCACCUUGCUGAGCUUCGGGUCUGCACAUCCCUGGUGACAUACCGUGUAUAUUUCCAUAGGCCCACUGGCCACCUGUAUGUCUUCUGUGGAAAAAUGUCAAAGUCCUCGCUCAUUUUUUAAUCAGUUGUCUAUUUUUUGGUGGUUGAGUUAUAGAGUUCUUUAUUCUGGGUGUCGACCUCUUCCCACGUACGUGAUCUGGACAUGUUUUCCCCCUUUCCUGCCCCACCCGGUCACUCUGCUGACGGUGCCCUUCGGCGCACACACAUUUUUCAGUUCCGUGCCCAACAUACCUACUUUGUUCUUUUGUUGCUCUGCUUUUAUCCAAGAAAUCGUCGCCAUGUGUGUUUUUCCCUGUGUUUUCUUCUGAGAGUUUUAGUUUCAGCUCUCAUUUCAUGUCUUAGGCGAGGUGAGCCCAGUGGCACUCUUUUGCAGGUGGAUAUUCAGUUUUCCCAGUACCAUUCGUCGAAAAGACUGUUCUUGCACCAUUGAGUCGUCUUGACAUCCUUGCCAAGUAUCAUUUGCCUAUAUAUGCUGGCAGCUUAUUUCUGGCCUCCAUAUUCUGUUCCUCUGCUCUGUAUGUUGGUCUUCAUGCCAGGACCACGCUGUGUUGAUUCCUGCAGCUUUGUAGUAAGUUUUGAAGUGAAGAAGUGUGAGACCUCCAACUUUGUUCUUUUUUGGCUGUAUUGAGUCCCUUGGGAUUCCGUAUGAUAUUUGGGAUGUAUUCUAUUUCUGCAAAGAACAUCAUUGGCUGAUAUGUGAUUUUAAAUUGGGGGCCUGGUAAGCAUAGAAGGAGGCCUAUUUGGAGACAGUUCAGACAAGAACUGAUGGUUCUUCUGAAUGGCUGGGUAGCAUAGGCUACAGAGACCCCUGGAGGGAUUUGGAAACUGUUUGGGUAGGGAGAUCAGUAGGAUUUAGUGAUGGGUUGGACGUGGGUGAGGAGGAAAUGAGGAAUCUAGAACAGCUCCUCAGGUGUGGCUCGGGGCAGAUGGUGGUACCCAUUGCUGAGAUGGGGAGAACAGGAACAGGUUUGGGAAUGAGGGUGUCAAGAGGCAGGCAGUCCGAGAUGGCUGGGAGAGAGCAGGUGGCAAGCAAAGUCAGCUAGGCUGCGGACACCCAAGCAUGGAACACGGUGGGGGCUGCAGGGCUGGGGAAGAGCUGCGAGUGUCAGCACCAGAGGGGCGGCCUGUGCAGCCUUGAGGCGGCUGCGGCAGCUGAGGAAGGCGAGUAGCUGGAGCAGGGGCCCGAGUAGCCGCUGGGAUCGUGUAGGCGUCACUCUCAUUCACUUGGGGUUGGUGACCCCCAAGCUCCCGUGCAGCCCUCUUGUGGCUCCGCGCUGUCCACCAGCACCCCAUGUCUCCCUCCUUCACCCCUCUCCUCCCUGAGAGCUUUCCUGACCGCCUCAGCCUCUGCACCUCCUUCUCCUCUCCAGGCCGCAUGCCAGCCCUGCUGUGGGGGCCUUGUCUGUGUAGCUGAGGCUGUAGGAGCUUGCAGAGCCCUUGAAGACAGGGAACUUGUUUCAUUCAUCUUUGUUUUCCCAGUGCCCAGUAUGGAGCCUGGACCAUGGGCCUCUGGAUGGAGAGAUUAAGGGCAGGUCCACUCAUGAUAUUUACCCCAAGAAACAAAUGAAUAUGUCCAUACAGAAGAUUGUCCCCGAAUGUCCAUAUCAGCUUGCAUCGUGGCUAAAAUGGAAACAACCCAAAUGCCCGGGAACAGAUGAACAAAUUGUGACACAUCUGCACAAUGGCAUUCACAGUAAAAAGAGAACUGCUGAUACACCCAGUAAUCUGGUGAAGCAUUAUGCUAAGUAAAAGAAGCCAGACCCAGAGGAGUGCAUACUGCGUGACUCCAUUUAUAUGAAAUUCCAGAUCAAGCAAUACUAACUUGCUAUGACAGAAGGCAGAUCCUCGGUUGCCUGCCGGGCUGGGGCUGGGGCUGGGGCUGACUGCAGGGGCAUGGUGGGAAUGUUCUGUAUCUGGGGAGAUGGAAAUGUUUGGUACCUUGAUUGUGAUGGUUAGUUACAAGGGUGUAAUGUUUGUCACAACUCAUUAAACUGUACACUUAAAA